UCUGGUGACUUGGGCGGUGUGGAACUACUCUUUCCCAUUCCGAACAGGACCGUAAAACGCACCAGCGCGGACGAUAGUAUACGGGCAACUGUAUGCGAAAAUACGUCGUCGCCAGAA
This 117-nucleotide ribosomal RNA is filed under the name Candidatus Woesebacteria bacterium RIFCSPHIGHO2_01_FULL_44_10. Lineage: Bacteria; Candidatus Woeseibacteriota. The record is from RNAcentral. RNAcentral also lists the same sequence under 2 other names.